Long non-coding RNA from Hibiscus syriacus, 554 nucleotides. RefSeq lists it as uncharacterized. The transcript is spliced from 3 exons. The record is from RefSeq and is a predicted model, not a curated record. Lineage: Eukaryota; Viridiplantae; Streptophyta; Magnoliopsida; Malvales; Malvaceae.
UAGCUGUCAUGAAGUUGGAAUCUACAUAAUUCCGACCAAGAGAGGUGGUAAAGCAUGUUCUCCAGACAGCUGCAGCAUCAUUGCAAAAGAUUCUUACCUUGGAAGGAAAUGUGGCAGAUGAAGUUCCGAUUGAGGUCAUAGGAGAUGUGCUAAGAAUUCGACAAAUUCUCACCAAGUUGAUCAGCAAUGCUAUCAAGUUUACGCAUGAAGGGAAGGUAGGGGUAAAACUUUAUGUAGUACUAAAGCCGCCUUUUGCGAAAGAAACAUCUCAGCCUGUAUCUAUGGAUCAACUACUAUUAAACCUAAAGCUAAUGUAUCCAAAGAGAGACAUGUACAUCAAUGCCUCAAACUAGCAGUGAUCAGAGAGGAUUCCAUGGUAAGAAACACGAAGGUUCUUGCCAAAACUAUUCACAAAGUGAAUCUGGUACUCUAGUAAGGAAUGGAACAAUAGAUGCAUCCGAGGAACAAGCAAAGUUACCUAAAACAACAGUGUGGAUAAGCUGUUAUGUAUAUUGCACUGGGAUCCAAAUACCAGGUACACGUUUGUAUGCUUG